RNAcentral lists this ribosomal RNA (433 nucleotides) under uncultured bacterium. RNAcentral describes it as "partial 16S ribosomal RNA". It matches the Rfam family "Bacterial small subunit ribosomal RNA", at positions 29 to 507 of the family's 1533-position model. The record is from RNAcentral.
AACGAACGCUGGCGGCAGGCCUAACACAUGCAAGUCGAGCGAGGACUUCGGUCCUAGCGGCGGACGGGUGAGUAACGCGUGGGAACGUGCCCUUUGCUUCGGAAUAGCCCUGGUAAACUGGGAGUAAUACCGGAUGAGCCCUUUGGGGGAAAGAUUUAUCGGCGAAGGAUCGGCCCGCGUUGGAUUAGGUAGUUGGUGGGGUAAUGGCCGACCAAGCCGACGAUCCAUAGCUGGGUUGAGAGGAAGAUCAGCCACACUGGGACUGAGACACGGCGCAGAAUCCUACGGGAGGCAGCAGUGGGGAAUCUUAGACAAUCGGGGAAAUGAUGAUCUAGCCAUGCCGGGUGAGCGCUGAAGGCCUUAGGGUUGUACAGCUCUUUAAGCUGGGAAGAUACUGACGGUACCAGCAGAAGAAGCCCCGGCUAACUCCGUG